RNAcentral lists this small RNA (447 nucleotides) under Arabidopsis thaliana (thale cress). RNAcentral describes it as "ATSL210400". Lineage: Eukaryota; Viridiplantae; Streptophyta; Magnoliopsida; Brassicales; Brassicaceae. The record is from RNAcentral.
CACCUUUAGUGAAGCCAGCUCCCGCAAACCUUUCUCGACCCAUAUCAUGUUUUCGAGAUUUCCUUCCCCAGAAGUUUCUUGCAAGUUUUGCAAUGAUUUUUCUCUUUCGCCAUAAGUGUUAUUAGCUGCUUGGUGAGGAGACCAGAGGGUAAGAACAAGUGAAGUCAGAACAAUUCCAAACAGUUCUAGUGAAAUUUCUGCAGCAAGAUGAAAAAUAUUACAUUGUGAAACUCCGUCCCUUGCUCUUUGUCCUGCAGAAAGAACAAUCUCUAGAGGAAGAGGUGCAAAUGAUGACCAGUAUUCGUGUUUUCCUCCUGCAAUGUCCGGUUGAAUGCCUGCCACAAUAUUUCACCCAAUUUUAGCUCAUUAUGUACGAUAUUUAGAGAAGCUUUAACAAUAUUGUUAGUGUAACUUUCUGUUUUACGUCACUCGAUCUUAUUCGUUUAU